AUGGAGGAAGGGAACCCUGGUCCUUCAUCGGUGGCGGCGAGGGUCGCCGCGAGACAGCGCAUCCCUCCCUAUCCCGCGCCAGUGGUGGCAGAGCCAGCCACAAGGGGAAGAGGGAGGGGGCGUGGUCGUGGGCGAGGCCGAGGGCGAGGUCGAGGCGCUCGAGGAAGAGGCGGACGGGGCGGCGCAGCAUCUCCGCCUCCGCCGGCAGCUCCUCCCCUCGCGGCGGUCCAUACAGGGGACGACCCUUGGGAGUUCUUCGUCAAGCUGCGCCGGGCACCUCGCCGUCGCCUCUGGCUUCCGGCUCCGUUUGCGAGCGCGAUGGAGCCGGACCCGCCCGAGACGCUGAGGUUGCGCAUGAGGGGCUGUGGGAUCAGCGGCACGCGAGUCAGCGUUGUAUCCCCAGCCCCUAGCGUGAUGUAUCUUGAUCGAGGGUGGAAGACGUUCGCCCGCAUCCACAGCUUGACGGCGGGGUUUACCCUCCAUUUUAAGUUAAUGGAGGGCGACCUCCUCUCCGUCAAGGUCUUCGGGGACUCCGGCACCCGGGCGAGAUGCUGCGUGGACAGCUCCUCCGAUAGCGAAGACCCCCCCUCGAGCGAGAGUGACGAGGAGGAGAGCGACAACGACGACGAGGGCGGCGGGCCCGACUAG
This 648-nucleotide ribosomal RNA is filed under the name Triticum aestivum (bread wheat). RNAcentral describes it as "partial small subunit ribosomal RNA". Lineage: Eukaryota; Viridiplantae; Streptophyta; Magnoliopsida; Poales; Poaceae. The record is from RNAcentral.